AGUGAACGCUGGCGGUAGGCCUAACACAUGCAAGUCGAACGGCAGCACAGUAAGAGCUUGCUCUUACGGGUGGCGAGUGGCGGACGGGUGAGGAAUACAUCGGAAUCUACUUUUUCGUGGGGGAUAACGUAGGGAAACUUACGCUAAUACCGCAUACGACCUACGGGUGAAAGCAGGGGAUCUUCGGACCUUGCGCGAUUGAAUGAGCCGAUGUCGGAUUAGCUAGUUGGCGGGGUAAAGGCCCACCAAGGCGACGAUCCGUAGCUGGUCUGAGAGGAUGACAAAGCAAAACGGGAAAUGAGACAGGUCCAAGACUCAAGAGGGAGGGGACAGUGGGAAAAGUGGGAAAAGGGGGGCAAGCCUGACCAAGCCAUACCGCGUGGGGGAAAAAGGCUUUGGGGUUUAAAACCCUUUUUGUGGGAAAAAAAAAGAAGGAGUUUAAUACCCCGUGGUUCGGAGGGAACCAAAGAAAUAAGAACCGGAAAAUUUGGUG
RNAcentral lists this ribosomal RNA (493 nucleotides) under uncultured bacterium. RNAcentral describes it as "partial 16S ribosomal RNA". It matches the Rfam family "Bacterial small subunit ribosomal RNA", at positions 29 to 507 of the family's 1533-position model. The record is from RNAcentral.